UUCUUUGGUAAUACAGCUCUAUGAGUUUGAUUAAGUAUCAUAAAGCUAGAUUACCAAAGCA
Non-coding RNA from Solenopsis invicta (red fire ant), 61 nucleotides. NCBI's taxonomy places the organism in Eukaryota, Metazoa, Arthropoda, Insecta, Hymenoptera, Formicidae. The record is from Rfam.